This 253-nucleotide ribosomal RNA is filed under the name uncultured bacterium. RNAcentral's name for it is "partial 16S ribosomal RNA". It matches the Rfam family "Bacterial small subunit ribosomal RNA", at positions 524 to 776 of the family's 1533-position model. The record is from RNAcentral.
UACGGAGGGUGCAAGCGUUAUCCGGAUUCACUGGGUUUAAAGGGUGCGUAGGAGGUCAGGUAAGUCAGUGGUGAAAUCUUCGAGCUUAACUCGGAAACUGCCGUUGAUACUAUCUGUCUUGAAUACCGUGGAGGUGAGCGGAAUAUGUCAUGUAGCGGUGAAAUGCUUAGAUAUGACAUAGAACACCAAUUGCGAAGGCAGCUCGCUACACGAAUAUUGACUCUGAGGCACGAAAGCGUGGGGAUCAAACAGG